This 73-nucleotide small nucleolar RNA is filed under the name Acanthochromis polyacanthus (spiny chromis). RNAcentral describes it as "Small nucleolar RNA Z40 (ENSAPOG00000013825.1)". It matches the Rfam family "Small nucleolar RNA Z40". From Rfam's summary of the family: Z40 is a member of the C/D class of snoRNA which contain the C (UGAUGA) and D (CUGA) box motifs. Most of the members of the box C/D family function in directing site-specific 2'-O-methylation of substrate RNAs. Lineage: Eukaryota; Metazoa; Chordata; Actinopteri; Pomacentridae. The record is from Rfam by way of RNAcentral.
AGAAGUUAUGAUGAUAGGCUUCAUAUGUUCAACUGCUCUGAAGUGUGAGUGACAGCUGCCUUUCUGAACAACC